CUCCUGGCGCCCACGGCGGCAAUCCGAGGCUGCUGGACAGCACCGAGCAGAGCUACACCCAAGACCGCUCCGAGCAGCCCUCAAACUGAGGGGAGAACGGGAGGGUCGGCGGGAUUCUAACAGCAGCGUGUCAUGCACACAAGCGCCUCCCCCAUCCACCUCUCCCUUACCCACCGCAAGCAGAUGCUGACACCCUCUGGUGGGAUGGCCGCCCCCCCAGCAGCCGUUUAUAGCCUGGUCCCGCCCUCUCCGACCCCCGGGGCGCUGCGUCACUUCCUGCCUCACGUAUACCUCUGGAAAUGGACGGCCCCGCGGCCAGGAGUGCGCACGCACCGGAGUCGGGAGCCCUUGGCUGGAGCGCGGGAGCUGGAAACUAUAUUCAGCAUCCUGUAAUAAACUAUAAAGGAAAAUAAAAAGAAAAAAUAGGAGUUCCUGUCCUGGCGCAGCGGAAACGAAUCCGACUAGGAACCAUGCUGGUUGGAUCCCUGGCCUCGCUCAGUGGGUUAAGGGUCCGGUGUUGCCAUGUGCUGUGCUGUAGGUCGCACAGGCGGCUCGGAUCCCGCGUUGCUGUGGCUGUGGUGUAGGCCGGCGGCUGUAGCUCCGAUUAGAACUUCCGUAUGCCGCAGUGCGGCCCUAAAAAAAGCAAAACAAACAUAAAAGUAUAGAUCUGGUCACAUAUGUGUAUAACCGAAUCACUUUGCUGUAUACCUGAAACUAACACAAUAUUGUAAAUCAACUAUAAUUUUUUUUGAAAAAGCAAAAUACAAAUUUGUAUUUAGGAUGUGUAAAAGCUGCUCAUGAAUCGCAAGGACUGGCACUGAGAUUUGCAGGAUGUUUUAAUGCCUGAAGAAAUGGAAAGGAAAAUAGAAACAAGCGAUUUAUUGGGGUGCUGGAAUUGCAGAAGUUUCCUGUUCAUUGUCAUUGUUAUUAUAAUAGGAUUGUGCAAUGCUUAACAAAUAAAAUGAUAUUGUUACCACUUUCUAAACUCUCUGCAAACGUUCUCACCCUUUCCCUUGGUAACCUACGAUCCUGUGAGGGAGAUUAGACACGUUUACAAAUAGCCGCGAAACUGGAAUACGACUGGGGCCAUAAAAUUGUUACAGAUAAAGCACUUUCCAAGUCUGAGCCCUGAUGGGCAAAGAAGUCCUUUGAAAUGCAAAUCUGUUUCCUGGUCUCCGGCUUCUGCUCUCCCUCUCAUGGGAAGUACGCUGAGUCUGCACCGCCCUUUCCCAUGCCCGAGCUCCCUAAAAUCUCUCCCCAAGGAGAAACAUUUUAAAAUCAUACAAACAGAAAUAUCACCACACCUUAGUAGAUCUACACAGGAAAAAGUUAAAGCAGUGAAAGGGAUGGAUUCACUGACAGGGCCAACCUGAAAUUCUGACAAUAGGCCAGCUGAGUCCCUUCUCUUUCCCGGAUUGGUAGGACCUUAAAACAAACAGUGCUAAUAUCCAAGGGAAAAUCUUAUAACCACGCGAAGAAAAUGGGCUUAGGAGACUGGAGGUCAGGAUGCAAAGUAUGAAAAUCCAAAUUAAAAAGUUUAAAUUCACUAAAAUGACAAUAAAGAAGACAAUAGAGAGCAUGUCAAUUACGUAUUUAUUUCCUUGCUUUUAUUAGUAAUAACACUAAGCAAAUACAUUUCCUUUACUCUCCCUUUCUUCAGGGAGACACUUUACAGGAUCUCCUUCUUUGGCAGUUUAAGUAGAUGGAAAUAGAUUUGUCUUGCUUUGUUGCAGAAUCUAUACAUACUGAGAGGCAAUUUUGCUUUGUCCGGUAUUCCAUACAUAUGUUUAAAGCUUUUUUUUUUUUUUUUUUAAUCUGACUUUUGCUGUGUUGUUGCCAUUAUUAUAUAGCAUUAGCUCCCACUUCUGCAGACUCAGUAAUUUGGAUGCCUGCAAUGAAAUAAAUUUUUCAUAACCUUUAUUUGAACUCUCCAGAAUAACUAAAAUGGUUAUUAUUCAACUUCCAACAGUCCAUAGAGUGUUACAUAAGACCUAACUUACAGUGGACCUAAAAUUCUUGCCGUUCUUCCAAAAGGUACACAGAAAAAAAAAAAUUUUUUUAAAUCAUGUAUGCUAGAAUUUUGCAUAAAGAAAAACUGGAGGUUGGAGAGGAGUGUACAGUGUGCUUAAUGCAUUGAUUUUUAAAAGCCCUAGAGAUCUGGGAAAAGAAGGCAAAGUCUGGUCUCAAGGAACUGGAAUUCUCAACUUCCUUGAGUCUGGGUUACCUCAGCUUUUAAAUGGGAAUAAAAAUACUUGGCUCAUAGGUUUUCUGUGGCUUUAAGUGAGAUAAGGCAAGUGCAAUCUCCUAAAAACACACAGUAUACUGGUACAUAGGAGACUCUUGGUUGAGUCUGUCUGGGUGGGAUAGAGCAGGAUCAGGCAGGAUAAUGACAUGGAAGAAGUCUGCAGGGCAGAUUUGGGUUGCUGAGGAAGACAUGCUAAGGCAUGCAGCCAGAGGCCACCAGCUUGCCUGUGGUGUGUAUUAAAACCCUGCUCUAGGCAAAUACCUUAGGGGAAUUACUGGUGUUAAGAGAAGGUUAAGGGAAUCAUCACCACUGCAAAAUUCUCCCUCUCUCUCUUUUUUUUUUUUUCAUCUUAAGAUGAAACCAGGAGUCUUUCUAUUUGGUGAGGGAGGAAUAGCAGGAAAAAAACCAGAGAAGCCACUGACAUAAUGAAAAGAGGCCCAGCCUGGAAGUCAGCCACUGGUCCAGAGCUGUGUCAUCAGCUGUGCUGCAGCCCCAUGGGUUUAAUGGCUUUAUGCUUCAGUUUUCCCACUGGCCACGUGGGGAGAACAUCCCUUUAUUCCCCAGUGAAUUAAAAAGUAGGAAAGCUCCUGAAAUUACAGGGUUAUGCAAAGAUAAGUUGCUGCUAGUUCACAGCCUCAGCCAAAUGAGUAAAUGUGGCUGGAGGGGAAAAAGCCUGGAAACUGGAAAGUUCCAAGCAACUAGCGCUGAAAUAAUUGCUUCAGAAGAGGAAAGUUGUCUUCAAUGGCUGUUGACUGCCCUGAUUCCAAUACAAAUCACUGCUGCUGAUAAUGGCUAAGAAGAAAAGGUAAUCAAUCACCAUCAUUAUUAUCAUUUAUUUUGUGUUGAACAAAGGUGUGUAAAGAACUGCGAAAGGAAUCUGUACUCCUGAAAAGGCAAAGAGGGUAGCUGGGAGAAACAGAGUUUAUAUUUAAAAGACAAAUAACAAGUGUGCAAGCGUGGAAGAGAAGAAACGGCCCAGAUCUGAAAAGGAAGGUAAGACUUGGAUGUGCUCACCAAGGCACACUGUAAUUUGCCACAUCUUGUUCCAAAUUGUAUGUCUAUUAGUUUCUAGUUGAUUUUUAUGCCUGUUUUUUUUUUAAACAAUCUAUUUUGUAAUACAGAAGUACAGUUGAAUGUAAACACACUCUCUCCUCUCUAACUCAGUCACAGGUAGAAGAAGGUACUUUUGCUGCCUACCCCAUAAGAUCAAAAUCAAUACACACACCUCUUCUGGGAGAUACAGACCAGGAAACUACACACUGGGCAGGAAUUAUAAACCCAAACCUCCAAGAAGAAGUUAGGAGGGUGGGAGGUUUUUGGCUUUCAGACAAAGGCAUUUAGUGCCUUUUCCCUUACAUUUUCAAAUGUUCAUCUGUUUAUGAUACAUAUGUAUAUUUUAUCACAAUUUACAAAAAUACAUUAAUUUGUAAACUCAGUCAUAGAGGAUCUAAAGCCAUUUGCUUUUUCUGGGGUCCUUUCUGUGGCCCGAAUGCUGGAGUCUCUGGGGUUAGCAUUUCCCAAAUUUUUGACUGUGCUCCAUGGUAAAAUGUCCACUUUACAACUCAGUCCACAUGUGUGUGUAUGUGUAGGUGUGUGUGUGUGCAUGUAUUCACAUGAAACAAGCAAAACUUUCAUGAAAUGAUACCCUUGCUGUGUGCAAAGCAGUCUGGAAUUUUCUAUGUAAUUUUUUUAAUGCUGCUUUCAACCUAUUAAAUUGACUUCUCAGUGGGCUCUGACCUGUGAUUAUAAACCCCCUCCUAAUCCACGCCUUUCUCAGAGCAUAAGUCCUUCUAGUGAACAGGACAAACGACUUGCUCCAAGUUAAAUAUCAACUCCCAAGCUUUCUCCUUGUUACUUUGCCCAAUGUUUCAACUUGCUGCCACCCUGCCCUUCGGCAGAUAUUGAGUGAGGUUUUAUGAGUUGGGAGGCAGAGUUUAAAAACAUAGAUAAAGCCUUUUCAGAUGCUUUUCAGUACACCUCUCGGUGCAGCAAGUUAAGGAUCUGGCGUUGUCAGUAAAGUGGCCCAGGUCACUGCUGUGGCCUUGGGUCUGAUCCCUGGCAUGGGAACUUCCACAUGCCACAUGUGUGGCAAAAAAAUUAAGAUAAAAAUGUUUUCAAACAUACUAUGGUUGAUGAUGGCAGAACUCUGCCAGCCACACAGUAAGGCCUCAUAGCAACCAGUAUAGAAGCCACCCCAACCUACAUUCAGCUCUGAUCACAGCUCCUAUUUGACAAACUGUAUCUACUUUUUUUUACUUUGGAAUCCUAAGCCCAGGGCCAUCACUUUAGGACCAGAAUUGUAAAAUAAAAAUGUGGAGCUCUGCACACUGCAAUAGGAUGUGUUCCAGAGAAUGAAGGUGGACAGUCAGGUCAUAUAUUUGAGGAAGCUUACACAAGAGAACAUGGAAGAAGAGCAAUCCAGGUUAUCAUGGUGGAAUUUGCCCCUACUUUAUAGCAAGUGGCAAAGAUUACUCAGGGUAGGGAAAGCAGAAUAUAUGAUUAAUUUUUAAAUUAAUUAUAAGAAUAUUUAUGCCAAUAAGUACAGCAGUCAAAGUAGGAGUGUCAAGCAGGAUAUAAGGUCCUAUUUAGCCUUAUCUGGGCAAAAUAGAUCUAGUUUCAUAAUAACAUUUCAAUUUUGGAAGUAACUUUAGCACAUGUACCAUCCAUGGCCUCUGACAGCUGUUCAAUAAACUUACGUUAAAAUCAUUUAAUAAAAUUCCUAGUUCCCAUCCUGGCUCAAUGGUUAACAA
Molecule: long non-coding RNA, 4995 nt
Organism: Phacochoerus africanus (Common warthog)
Lineage: Eukaryota; Metazoa; Chordata; Mammalia; Artiodactyla; Suidae
Exons: 3
Source: RefSeq, a predicted model, not a curated record